UGAAGAGGAUUGUGACUGAGCGGCGGACGGGUGAGUAACGCGUGGGUAACCUGCCUCAUACAGGGGGAUAACAGUUAGAAAUGACUGCUAAUACCGCAUAAGACCACAGCACCGCAUGGUGCGGGGGUAAAAACUCCGGUGGUAUGAGAUGGACCCGCGUCUGAUUAGCUAGUUGGUAAGGUAACGGCUUACCAAGGCGACGAUCAGUAGCCGACCUGAGAGGGUGACCGGCCACAUUGGGACUGAGACACGGCCCAAACUCCUACGGGAGGCAGCAGUGGGGAAUAUUGCACAAUGGGGGAAACCCUGAUGCAGCGACGCCGCGUGAGCGAAGAAGUAUUUCGGUAUGUAAAGCUCUAUCAGCAGGGAAGAAAAUGACGGUACCUGACUAAGAAGCACCGGCUAAAUACGUGCCAGCAGCCGCGGUAAUACGUAUGGUGCAAGCGUUAUCCGGAUUUACUGGGUGUAAAGGGAGCGUAGACGGAUGGGCAAGUCUGAUGUGAAAACCCGGGGCUCAACCCCGGGACUGCAUUGGAAACUGUUCAUCUAGAGUGCUGGAGAGGUAAGUGGAAUUCCUAGUGUAGCGGUGAAAUGCGUAGAUAUUAGGAGGAACACCA
This 617-nucleotide ribosomal RNA is filed under the name uncultured Lachnospiraceae bacterium. RNAcentral describes it as "bacterial SSU rRNA". It matches the Rfam family "Bacterial small subunit ribosomal RNA", at positions 78 to 711 of the family's 1533-position model. Lineage: Bacteria; Bacillati; Bacillota; Clostridia; Lachnospirales; Lachnospiraceae. The record is from RNAcentral.